Apteryx rowi (Okarito brown kiwi) is the source of this 911-nucleotide long non-coding RNA. NCBI's taxonomy places the organism in Eukaryota, Metazoa, Chordata, Aves, Apterygiformes, Apterygidae. The record is from Ensembl.
CCCGGACACCUUGUCCCCAACACCAGGACACCUCAUCCCCAAAACACCCGGACACCUCCAUCCCCCAACGCCCGGACACCUCGUCCCCCAACACCCGGACACCUUGUCCCCAAACACCAGGACACCCUGUCCCCCAACACCUGGACACCUCAUCCCCAAACACCUGCACACCUUGUCCUCCAACACCCAGACACCUUGUCCCCCAACACCCGGACACCUCGUCCCCAAACACCCAGACAUCUCCAUCCCCCAACGCCCGGACACCUCCAACCCCCAACACCUGGACACCUUGUCCCCCAACGCCCGGACACUUCGUCCCCCAACACCCAGACACCUCGUCCCCAAACACCUGGACACCUUGUCCCCAAACCCCUGCACACCUUGUCCACCAACGCCCGGACACCUCCAUCCCCCAGCACCCAGAGACCCUGUCUACAAACACCUGCACACCUUGUCCCCCAACACCCAGACACCUUGUCCCCCAACACCCAGACAUCUCCAUCCCCCAGCACCCACAGACCCUGUCUACAAACACCCAGAGACCCCAUCCACAAACACCCGGACGCCACCAUUCUCCAAGACCUGAAAAUCCCAGUCCUCCAUAUCCCCAACACCUGGACACCCCAGUCUCUCAACACCUGGACGUUUCCAUUCUCCAAGACCUGAACAUCCUGACACCCCAUCUCUUGACACCCGGACACUCCAGUCCUCCAACACCUGGACAUCUCCAUUCUCCAAGACCUGCACAUCCUGAUGCCCCAUCUCCCGACACCUGGACACCCCAGUCCUCCAACACCUGGACGUCUCCAUUCUCCAAGACCUGCACAUCCUGAUGCCCCAUCUCCCGACACCUGGACACCCCAGCCCUCCAAAACCUGACACCCCAGUCCCUCAACACCUGGACUUCUCCA